Brienomyrus brachyistius is the source of this 173-nucleotide long non-coding RNA. RefSeq lists it as uncharacterized. The transcript has 2 exons. The record is from RefSeq and is a predicted model, not a curated record. NCBI's taxonomy places the organism in Eukaryota, Metazoa, Chordata, Actinopteri, Osteoglossiformes, Mormyridae.
UGGAUGUCAACAGACCAAUGAAUGAAAAAAUUGACCUGGUCCAGUUGGUCAAAGUGGUUGAGGGACCUGUAGGCAGGCUGUACUCAGCAAGUGCAGUGACGCCCCACACCUCAGUGCCUCCCCCAGCUCCCUGUACACUCCUGUUUCAAUAAAGUUCUUUUGUGUUUCAAGCA